ACGGGUGAGUAAUAUAUGAGAAUCUGCCUUUUAGUGGAGAAUACCUUCGAGAAAUUGAAGUUAAUACUGCAUAUGUCCUUCGGGAGAAAGAUGGCCUCUUUGCUGUCGCUAAAAGAUGAGCUCAUACACUAUCAGCUAGUUGGUGGGGUAAAGGCCUACCAAGGCUAUGACGGUUAGCCGGCCUGAGAGGGUGUACGGCCACACUGGAACUUAGACACGGUCCAGACUCCUACGGGAGGCAGCAGUGGGGAAUAUUGCGCAAUGGGCGAAAGCCUGACGCAGCGACGCCGCGUGGAGGAUGAAGGUCUUAGGAUUGUAAACUUCUGUUAAGUGGGAAGAAAAGUCUGCGUUUAAUACAUGCGGAAAAUGACGGUACCAUUAGAGAAAGCACCGGCUAACUUCGUGCCAGCAGCCGCGGUAAUACGAAGGGUGCAAGCGUUAUUCGGAAUCAUUGGGCGUAAAGGGUGUGUAGACGGUGUGUUAAGUUUAUUGUUAAAUCUUCUGGCCUAACCGGAAAUCAGCAGUGGAUACUGGCGCACUAGAGGGUGGAAGAGAGAAGUGGAAUUCUCGGAGUAGCGGUAAAAUGC
This 587-nucleotide ribosomal RNA is filed under the name uncultured bacterium. RNAcentral's name for it is "bacterial SSU rRNA". It matches the Rfam family "Bacterial small subunit ribosomal RNA", at positions 102 to 689 of the family's 1533-position model. The record is from RNAcentral.